RNAcentral lists this long non-coding RNA (9166 nucleotides) under Ananas comosus (pineapple). RNAcentral's name for it is "long non-coding RNA (ACOM_LNC033557)". Lineage: Eukaryota; Viridiplantae; Streptophyta; Magnoliopsida; Poales; Bromeliaceae. The record is from RNAcentral.
CUUGGUCGAAUCCCUUUUCUACUCUGUUGCUGCGAAAUUCGGACUGAAUUGGUGGAUUUUGAUCGUAGAGCUUGGAGUUAGCUCGAGUGCUAGACUUGGAGGGUUCCAGUUGAUCCAGCAGGGAUCACUUUGGUGCGAGGCUUCGUUCGCUACCAGGAGCUAGCUUCUUGAGGUGGGUUACAUCAGUUUUGACUCCUAAGUUCUAAUCGUCGACAUGUAUAAUUUUGAUUUUGGUAUACUCUAUUCUAGCUCGAAUUCAUGAAUUAUAUUGUAGAUUGCAAAUUUGAAUUUGGAGCAUGUGGUAAUAAGUUGAGUAGUUUAUACAUGUUGGACUUGGAAUUCGACUUAGGAGAAAACCUACGAUUGGGACCCGUCACUUGUUUAAACUGCCUGAUUUAGCUCUAAGAGUCGUUAUAAAAUUGUACUGUCGCAGUAUCUUUGAGACGAGUACUCCGGGUAGUUUAGAAUACAUUUACGCUCGUGCUGGUACGCCGAGUGGAUUUUUACAGAGUCAUUUCGCUGUUUCGGACUUUUGCGCCGUUGGAGUUGACGGUGGGCCCAGUUCGCCGUUUUGGCGUCAGAUUGUGCCGAGGGCACGUUACUUGUUUGUUGUUAGACCAGUUAGAGUCGGUUACUUAAACUUUGGCUUGACAGAGCCUGAUUAAGCUCAACAGAGAUACGCUGCAUACUCGGUUGGGUAGCGCCCACGAGUGCCACUCCGGAGACGGGCUUUGUGCUUUCGCGUUGGUGUCGCUCAUGCCAGUUGGACUUGCUCUCCACGGACCAGUUAGUGUGGAGGUAGCUGGAUAGUCACAACUGGGCAGGGACGGGUGUAUUCACAGUCCCAAGGACGGGUAGGUUUACAGUCCCGAUUGGAUUGGGUCCGAUUUGACAUUUCCUACAGUUGGUUAGUGUAGAGCAUGAUAGUGUAGUGAUUGAUAGCGGUAGAGUUUACUUCCUGCUUUUCCUACUAUCCUGGCUCCCCUCUGUAGACUUAGUGGGUGGACCGAUAUUGUUUGGGCUGCACCCACUGAGGACUACUUGUUUUUACAGUAGUUCUCACGCCCAGUUGUUACCCCUGUUUUGCAGAGCCACAGGUUCCGGCUGCUGCGCCUUCCGCGGAUCAGGAUCGAGGCAAGGGCGUCGCGAGUUAGAGCCCUACCCGAUGUGCUGAGCUAGAGGUGCCCCUACUGCAGGUAGAUUUUUUUUUUCGAGUUUAUGUACAUAGUAGACUUAACUCGCCAGUGCGAGUAGCUCUGUAUUUUGGAUUUGGACUAUGUAUAUGAAACUCAGUUUGUUUAGCUUAUGAUUCUCUAGCAGCUCUCUACUACUGUUCGUAGUAGUGUUGGAUUUACAGGUACAGCUAUCGCUUCGUUUACAGGAAAAAUUUUCUUUGUAUACGACGGAUUUGUCGGCGUGCUCGGGGAACGAGACAUUCGGGGCGUGACAGAUUAACUUGGUAUCAGAACUUUGCUGUAGGUCGUUGGGACCUAAGAAACCUAAGUUUGGCAAACCUUAGGAAGGCAAGACGUGAGAGGCGUAAUUUAUUGCGAAAGUCAAUGAUUAUUUAUUCUAACUCCUAGAGUGGAGUGAGUGACUGAAGGAGUUCCUGUUUUGGCCUGAGAAAUUAUGUUGGCUGCAGACAACAUAAUUUUGGAGGGAAACAGGGUCCGCCUUCCAGACUUUCGUUGAUUGGGUCAAAAGUGUUUGUGUUUCAACUGACCCCGAUCUGUUCUUUUCAGCUAUGUAUCGUCGCCGAGGCCAACCGUCGUUGCGGGAGCGUGCGCAGUUGGCACAGGAUCCUGCUAGAUCUCCCGAGAUGCCCGAGCAGGCAGAGCCGAGUGCACCACCAAAGGAAAGUGUACCCCCUGUUGUAGAGCAGAGGGCCCGACCGGAGGCGAGUGCAUCCCUGGAUUUGAGUGCACAGUUAGCUGCCCUCACAGAGGUGACGAGGUAGCAGGGGGAGAUGUUGCAAAGGUUGUGUGAGAGGGUGGCUCAGACAUCGAGUACAGUACCGAGAGCACCAGAGCAGGCCAUUCCGCCUCCGACUACUCCAAUGGUCGCACCAGCCGUAGCUGUACCCCCACCAGCAAAGUUUCCGGCCGCGCCAGUUGCGCCAGCUAGGGGACCGGUUUAGUUGACAGAGGCCGAGCAGGAGCGGUGGACAGAGAGGUUGGCCCGUUUCCGCCGUUUUGAUCACCGAUUUUCAAUGGCAGUUGCACUGAGGCCUGGAUUGUCGAGGGAUGGGUCAGUGCGAUGGAGAAGUUAUUUGAGGAUUUGUUUAUUCCAGAGGGGGAGCAGGUGUCUUUGGGAGUCCAUUGCUUGGCAGGUGAUGCCCACGUCUGGUGGAGGAGAGUGAGGAGAGAGCAGGGACUGGUGGCAUUGCAGCUGGGAUGGGAUGAGUUCUGUGGAAUGCUGUUUGGGAUGUUCUUUCCCAAUNAAGUGUACCCCCUGUUGUAGAGCAGAGGGCCCGACCGGAGGCGAGUGCAUCCCUGGAUUUGAGUGCACAGUUAGCUGCCCUCACAGAGGUGACGAGGCAGCAGGGGGAGAUGUUGCAGAGGUUGUGUGAGAGGGUGGCUCAGACAUCGAGUACAGUACCGAAAGCACCAGAGCAGGUCAUUCCGCCUCCGACUACUCCAAUGGCCGCACCAGCCGUAGCUGUACCACCCCCAGCGGAGUUUCCGGCCGCGCCAGUUGCGCCAGCUAGGAGACCGGUUCAGUUGACGGAGAUCGAGCAGGAGCAGUGGAUAGAGAGGUUGGCCCGUUUCCGCCGUUUCGAUCCGCCGAUCUUUGAUGGCAGUUGUACUGAGGCUUGAGUUGUUGAGGGCUGGGUCAGUGCGAUGGAGAAGCUAUUCGAGGAUCUUUUCAUCUCUGAGGGGGAGCAGGUGUUUUUGGGAGUCUAUUGUUUGGCAGGUGACGCCCACGCCUGGUGGAGGAGAGUGCGGAGAGAGUAGGGACUGGUAGCAUUACAGCUGAGUUUGGAUGAGUUCUGUGGAAUGCUGUUUGGGAUGUUCUUUCCCAACAGUGUGAAGCAGAAGCUCGAGGAGGAUUUGAGGAGGCUUCAGCAGGGGGAUCGGCCAGUGCAGGAGUACGUUCGAGAGUUUACUCGACUCCUGAACUGCAUGCCAUUUGUGGCCAGAGAUGAGGCCCGCAGGGUUUACAUGUUCGAGCAGGGGCUGAGACCGGAUAUUUUUAGGUUGACUCGGACGCAGAGGUCGAGGACUCUGGAUGCGUCUAUAGAGCAGGCCUUGUAGGUGGUGCGAGGUGAGGCAUCGCUGCAGGAGAGGACUCAGGCCGUAGGGCAGAGUCAGGACAGGAAGCGCCCCUUUCCAGAUGACGGUGGACAGUCGAGCAGCAGACGUCCGCCGAGGCCUCCACAAUCACGUUCUCAGGGUCGUGGGUUUUCGAGACGUCAGCGUUCCAGGGGAUCCCGUCAGCAGGGUCAGACUUAGAGGGCACUGCUGUGUGUGAUCUGCGGGGGACCACACUGGCCCCGGCAGUGCGAGCAGAGAGAGUGCAGGUGCUACGGAUGUGGUCAGCCGGGACACAUGAGGGCAGCUUGUCCCCCAAUAGCGUCUCCAGCACCAUCAACUUCAGCACCACCAGCACCGCAGCAGUCUUACGGAGCAGCACCGAGCUACCGCCAUGAGGACAGAUCGUCUGUGCCGCGGUCGAGUGAGCGGCGACAGCAGGCUCCGAGUGGCAGGGUUUAUACAGCCCGGGUGAAGGACUCUACAGCAGCCGACCGAGUGGUGGCAGGUAUCACUUUGAUUUCUGGCAUUAGAGUUCGCACUCUUUUUGAUACCGGUGCCUCGCAUUCCUUUGUUAGCCGAGCAUUUGCACAGUUACAUGGUCUAGAGUUAGGAGCGUUGUCUCAAGCACGAGAGGUGCAGAUCCCAGACUAUGUUUUGCAGGUUGUGGAGUGUUGUUGGUCAUGCCCGGUGCAGCUAGACUCGUGGAUUAUGCCCGCAGAUUUGUUGGUGUUAGGGCAGCUGCAGGAUUUCGACGUCGUGCUCGGUAUGGAUUGGCUGGCGCGGUACUAUGCUACGAUCGACUGUGGAGCGAGGAUGGUGACGUUCCGCGAGCCAGGCCAUGAGGAGUUUACUUUUAGACGCUGCAGGAGCACGCUGUUUGCCACCUGGAUAUCUUCGGCGAGGGCUCGACAGAUGCUGAAUAGCGGGUGUAUCGCUUUCCUAGCGACAGUUGUGGAGGUACCUACGGCGGCGCCGGGACUCGAGGAUAUCCCAGUAGUCCGCGAGUUUCCGGAUGUAUUUCCCCCUAAGUUGACGUCGUUGCCGCCGGAGAGGGAGAUUGAGUUUGUGAUUGAUGUAGUUCCUAGAACUGCACCAAUCUCGAAGGUACCUUAUCGGAUGGCGCCGGCAGAGCUGAGAGAGCUAAAGGCACAGCUUCAGGAUUUGAUAGAUAGAGGGUUUGUGAGACCCAGUGUUUCGCCUUGGGGAGCGCCAGUGUUGUUUGUGAAGAAAAAGGAUGGUUCACUUAGGCUGUGUAUGGAUUACCGGGAGCUGAAUAAAGUGACCAUCAAGAAUAAGUAUCCCUUGCCUCGUAUUGAUGAUUUGUUUGAUCAGCUGCAGGGAUCUUAUGUCUUCUCGAAGGUUGAUCUCCAGUCAGGUUACCACCAGCUGAGAGUAAGGGCCGAGAAUGUUCCCAAGACAGCUUUUCGGACUCGGUACGGGCAUUAUGAGUUCACGGUGAUGCCUUUUGGAUUGACGAAUGCCCCUACCGCAUUCAUGGAUUUGAUGAACAGAGUGUUCAAGCCGUUCUUAGAUAGAUUUGUGGUAGUCUUCAUCGACGAUAUCCUGAUUUACUCCCGGAGUGAUGCUGAGCAUGAGCACUUGAGGAUUGUGCUACAACUUCUGCGAGAGAAGAAAUUGUAUGCCAAGUUAAAGAAGUGCAAGUUCUGGCUACGGGAGGUUGCUUUCUUGGGCCACGUGAUUUCAGCUAAGGGCGUAGCAAUGGACCCGAAGAAGAUUGAGGCGAUUCGAGAUUGGCCUAGACCGACGACGGUGACUGAGGUACGGAGUUUCCUGAGACUGGCAGGAUAUUACCGUCGGUUUGUGGAAGGCUUUGCGAAGCUUUCCACACCCCUCACACGCUUGACGCGGAAGGGGAUUCGUUUUGUCUGGAGCGACGACUGUCAGAGGAGUUUUGACGAGUUGAGACUGAGGUUGACGUCGGCUCCUAUCCUUGCCCUUCCGGUGAUGGGGGAUGGAUUUGUGAUCUACAGUGAUGCAUCGCACAGUGGACUUGAUUGCGUGCUGAUGCAGUAUGAUAGGGUGAUUGCUUAUGCUUCACGGCAGUUAAAGAAUUAUGAGAAGAAUUACCCUACGCAUGACUUGGAGCUUGCCGCAGUGGUUUUUGCUUUGAAGCUCUGGCGGCAUUACUUGUACGGCGAGCACUGCGAGGUCUUCACCGAUCAUAAAAGUCUCAAGUAUCUGUUCACACAGAGGGAGCUGAACCUGAGGCAGCGCCGGUGGUUAGAGUUACUGAAGGACUAUGACAUUAGUAUUCAGUAUCAUCCCAGCAGGGCGAAUGUUGUGGCAGAUGCGUUGAGCAGGAAGUCAGUGCAGAGCCUGAGUUUGAGGAUCACUGAGCAGAGACCCCUACUCAAGGAGCUACAGCGGCUGGGACUCGAGAUAGUACCCCCUGAGUCUACGGCGAGGCUGACGUCUCUAGUUUUGCAGCCCACUCUGUUGGAUAGGAUCCGAGAGAAACAGAGUGGAGAUCCGUACUUGUUGAGGAUUAGAGCAGCUAGACAGGGGGCAGGCUGAGAGUUUUGCUUUGGACAGUUCGGGAGUACUACGGUACAGGGACCGACUGUGUGUGCCUGUGGAUUCUGAAAUCCGAGCAGACAUUCUGAGAGAGGCUAAUUGUUCUCCUUAUACGGUUCACCCAGGUGGGACCAAGAUGUAUAAGGACUUAAAGGCACAGUUUUGGUGGAAUGGAAUGAAGAGAGACAUUGGCAGAUAUGUGGCUCAGUGUUUGACUUGCCAACAGGUGAAGGCCGAGCAUCAGAUGCCUGCUGGGAAGCUUCAGAAUCUGCCAUUGCCCGAGUAGAAGUGGGAGUACAUCACGAUGGACUUCGUCGUUGGAUUGCCUAGAGCGCAGGGUGGCUACGACGCGAUUUGGGUGAUAAUGGACAGACUGACCAAGUCUGCUCACUUCCUACCAGUUCAGACUACCUGGUCCAGAGAGAGACUCGCGCAGCUAUACUUGGAUGAGAUUGUUAGGCUGCACGGCGUGCCAGUGUCGAUUGUAUCAGACAGAGACCCGAGGUUUGUAUCCCAGUUUUGGAGGAGCCUUCAGACCACCGCCUUGGACACUCAGCUGCAUUUUAGCACGGCGUUCCACCCACAGACAGAUGGUCAGUCAGAGCGGACCAUACAGACUCUAGAGGACAUACUGAGGGCAUGCGUCCUGGAUUUUGGAGGAGGGUGGUAUCGACAUGUGAGACUAGUUGAGUUUACGUACAACAACAGCUAUCAAGCGAGCAUUCGGAUGGCUCCGUUUUAAGCGUUGUAUGGACGCAGAUGUCGAUCCCCUCUGUUUUGGAGUGAUGUGGGUGAGAGGAUGACACUUGGACCGGAGAUCUUACUUGAGGCUGAGGAAAAGAUGAGAGUCGUUCGACAACACCUUUUGACAGCACAGAGCCGACAGAGGAGCUACGCCGAUAUCAGAAGACGAGACUUGGAGUUUCAGGUUGGAGAUCAUGUUUUCCUCAAAGUCUUGUCGUCCAAAGGAAUACGCCGAUUUGGAGUACGUGGAAAGCUUAGUCCACUGUUUGUUGGCCCUUUCGAGGUAUUGGAGCGUCUCGAACCGGUUGCAUACAGGAUAGCUCUACCCCCGCGACUUACUGGCAUCCACGAUGUUUUCCACGUCUCAGCAUUGAGGAGAUACGUUUUCGAUCCCUCUCAUGUGAUUGACUUCACUCCACUUGAGAUUGGCGAGGAUCUGAGAUACGAGGAGCGACCGUUGCGGAUUCUUGCUCGAGAGACAAAAGAAUUGUGCAAUCGGAUCAUCCCGUAUGUGAAAGUGCAGUGGAGUAAUCAUGAUGAGCGGGAGGCGACUUGGGAGUCUGAGACGGUGAUGAAGGAGGCCAAUCGCUAUUUGUUUGAUGCCUGAGCAGAGGUAUGUUUCAGUUUCGAUGACGAAAUUUUUUGUAGAGGGGGAGGAUGUGAGAUCCCUGGUGUACGGCUGUGGAGGCUUGCCGACAGCUCUGGAGAGUGUCGAGACAAGUUUGAGUCGCGUUGGCGUAAAAUGCAUGCAAAACGAACCCCCCGCGACGCGAACGUAGCACUUGGCGAGAAAAUCCGCAAAAUUGCAGGUUUUCUGCUUGCUGUACCGGUACAGCCAUCAAGGUGUACCGGUACACUUCAGCUAGCUACACGCGGGCUGCUCUCGGGUUAGCCUCUAUACCGGUACACCGACCCCUCGUACCGGUACACCAGGGUAGGUAAGGGGUGGUUUGGUCUUUUUCCCACUUCGUUCAUAUCACCCUUUCUCUCUCUCUAGCUAGGUUCUUGCGCACGGUGGAGCUCGGGUGGAGUUCGGAUUUCGUCGCCGACGUCGCGCCGCGGAGUCGUUCGAGCACGUGUUUGACGCCGGGGUAGCGCGAGGAGGCUGGGCGAGCGUAGGUUUUCGCCGUUCUUGCUGUCGCACCGGUGCUUGGUGUUGUCGAGGUGGGUAAUUCAGCAUUUUCUUUGUUUUUGGGCAAGUUCUUACUACUUCAACUCGGAAUGAUGUUGUUGCUGAAAUUCAUCGCCGACUGUUAGUAUUUCAGCUCGUACUCGACGUAGGAGCAUCGGAUUUCGACGAGGCUUGGUUCGUUGGAUUCGGGACUUCGAGAAGAAUCCACGAAGCCCUUACUUGCCGGAUUUGGUGAAGGUUAGCUUGGUCGAAUCCCUUUUCUACUCUGUUGCUGCGAAAUUCGGACCGAAUAGGUGGAUUUUGAUCGUAGAGCUUGGAGUUAGCUCGAGUGCUAGACUUGGAGGGUUCCAGUUGAUCCAGCAGGGAUCACUUUGGUGCGAGGCUUCGUUCGUUGCCAGGAGCUAGCUUCUUGAGGUGAGUUACAUCGGUUUUGACUCCUAAGUUCUAAUCAUCGACAUGUAUAAUUUCGAUUUUGGUAUAGUCUAUUCUAGCUCGAAUUCAUGGAUUAUAUUGUAGAUUGCAAAUCUGAAUUUGGAGCAUGCGGUAAUAAGUUGAGUAGUUUAUACAUGUUGGACUUGGAAUUCGACUUAGGAGAAAACCUGCGAUUGGGACCUGUCACUUGUUUAAACUGCCUGAUUUAGCUCUAGGAGCCGUUAUAAAAUUGUACUGUCGCAGUAUCUUUGAGACGAGUACUCCGGGUAGUUUAGAAUAUAUUUACGCUCGUGCUGGUACGCCGAGUGGAUUUUUACAGAGUCAUUUGGCUGUUUCGGACUUUUGCGCCGUUGGAGUUGACGGUGGGCCCGGUUCGCCGUUUUGGCGUCAGAUUGUGCCGAGGGCACGUUACUUGUUUGUUGUUAGACCAGUUAGAGUCGGUUACUUAAACUUUGGCUUGACAGAGCCUGAUUGAGCUCGACAGAGAUACGCUGCAUACUCGGUUGGGUAGCGCCCACGAAUGCCACUCCGGAGACGGGCUUUGUACUUUCGCGUUGGUGUCGCUCAUGCCGGUUGGACUUACUCUCCAUGGACCAGUUAGUGUAGAGGUAGCUGGAUAGUCGCAACUGGGCAGGGACGGGUGUAUUCACAGUCCCAGGGACGGGUAGGUUUACAGUCCCGAUUGGAUUGGGUCAGAUUUGACAUUUCCUACAGUUGGUUAGUAUAGAGCAUGAUAGUUUGAUUGAUAGCGGUAGAAUUUACUUCCUGCUUUUCCUACUAUCCUGACUUCUCUCUGUAGACUUAGUGGAUGGAUCGAUGUUGUUUGGGCGGCACCCACUGAGGACUACUUGUUUUUACAGUUGUUCUCACGCCCAGUUGUUACCCCUGUUUUGCAGAGCCACAGGUUCCGGCUGCUGCGCCUUCCGCGGAUCAGGAUCGAUGCAAGGGCGUCGCGAGUUAGAGCCCUACCCGACGUGCUGAGCUAGAGGUGCCCCUACUGCAGGUAGAUGUUUUUUUUUCGAGUUUAUGUACAUAGUAGACUUAACUCGCCAGUGCGAGUAGCUCUGUA